This 64-nucleotide microRNA precursor is filed under the name Cordylochernes scorpioides. Lineage: Eukaryota; Metazoa; Arthropoda; Arachnida; Pseudoscorpiones; Chernetidae. The record is from RNAcentral.
GAUCAAAUCUCACCCCUGCACUUUGAUUAUUUGAUUCCAAGGUGUUCUGGUGGGAUGUGAUUCU